GACGAACGCUGGCGGCGUGCUUAACACAUGCUAGUCGAACGCUGAAGCUUGGUGCUUGCGCUGGGUGGAUGAGUGGCGAACGGGUGAGUAAUAAGUGAGUAACCUGCCCUUGACUCUGGGAUAAGCCUGGGAAACUGGGUCUAAUACUGGAUACGACAUGUCACCGCAUGGUGGUGUGUGGAAAGGGUUUUACUGGUUUUGGAUGGGCUCACGGCCUAUCAGCUUGUUGGUGGGGUAAUGGCUCACCAAGGCGACGACGGGUAGCCGGCCUGAGAGGGUGACCGGCCACACUGGGACUGAGACACGGCCCAGACUCCUACGGGAGGCAGCAGUGGGGAAUAUUGCACAAUGGGCGGAAGCCUGAUGCAGCGACGCCGCGUGAGGGAUGACGGCCUUCGGGUUGUAAACCUCUUUCAGCACGGAAGAAGCGAAAGUGACGGUACGUGCAGAAGAAGCGCCGGCUAACUACGUG
RNAcentral lists this ribosomal RNA (472 nucleotides) under uncultured bacterium. RNAcentral's name for it is "partial 16S ribosomal RNA". It matches the Rfam family "Bacterial small subunit ribosomal RNA", at positions 28 to 507 of the family's 1533-position model. The record is from RNAcentral.